Molecule: non-coding RNA, 944 nt
Organism: Odocoileus virginianus texanus
Lineage: Eukaryota; Metazoa; Chordata; Mammalia; Artiodactyla; Cervidae
Source: RefSeq, a predicted model, not a curated record
UCCCUGAUCCGUGGUUUCCCUUUCCAAAGUUUCAGUGACCCACGGGCAACCACAGUCCAAAAUUAUUAAAUGGAAAAAUCCAGAAGUAAACAAUGCAUAAGUUUUAAAUUGUGCGCCAUUCUGAGUACCAUGAUGAAAUCUUGAGCCACCUGGUGGCUGGGAUGUGAACCAUCCCUUUGGCCAGUGUAUCCCACCCAUUAGUCACUUAGUAGCCACCUAGGGUAUCAGAUCACCGGUCGUAGUGUCACAAUGCUGUGUGCAAGUGACCCUUAAGUCACUUAAUAUUGGCCCCUAGGUGCAAGAGUUGGGAUGCUGGUGAUUUGAAUAUGCCAGAGAGGAGCCAUUAAGCACUUUCUGUAAGUGAGAGGUGAAAGUUCCUGACUUAAUAAGGAAAGGAAAAAAAUCGUAAGUUGAAGUUGCUAUGAGCUACAGCAAGAACAAAUAAUCUAUCUGUGAGAUCACGAAGAAAGAAACAUCUUCAUGUUUUGCUGUUGCCUCUCAAACUGCAAAGGUUAUGGCCACAGUGCAUGAAGCUGGAAAAGGCGUGAAAGCAGAGUCUCUCCCAGAACCUCCAGGAAGAACACAACCCUGUCACCAUUUUGAUUUUAGGACUUCUGACCUUCAGAACUGACCACACUGAAUUUCAGGACUGCUGAGAGAAGCAGCUGGAAGUCAAGAUGACUGUGAUUCUUCACCAUUGUUGUCUCCAAUGGAAAGAUCCUAAGGCAAAGUAGUUUAAAGCACAACAUGCCUUCAUACUGUCUCCCCUAUCCUAAUUAAAGGGCCUAUUUUACUGCAAGUCUUCAGAUAAUUGCUUCACUCCUCCAGUUAAUUUCUCACAUGUAGAUACAAACAUUCUGGGUUGCUCAAAAAAGUCAACACAUUUUUCUCCAGGUUCUUCUCCUCCUCUUUAGAGUAACUCAAGGAGUAACAUCCAUAUAUUC